AUUCCAGCUCCAAUAGCGUAUAUUAAAGUUGUUGCGGUUAAAAAGCUCGUAGUUGGAUUUCCGUUGAGGACAGGCGGUCCGCACUAUGUGCGUGUCUCUGUUUUGGCCUCGGCAUCCUCUCGGAAAAAGCUACUGCGCUUGAUUGCGUGGUGUGGAGUUCGAGACUUUUACUUUGAGGAAAUUAGAGUGUUCACGGCAGGCAAUCGCCUUGAAUAUGUUAGCAUGCAAUAAUAAUAUAGGAUCUUGGUUCUAUUGUUGGUUCCUAGAGCUAGGAUAAUGAUUAAUAGGGGCAAUUGGGGGCAUUCGUAUUAACGCGUCAGAGGUGGAAUUUUGGGAUUGCGUUACGACGAACUACUGCGAAAGCAUUUGCCAACGAUGUUUUCAUCA
This 387-nucleotide ribosomal RNA is filed under the name Syndiniales sp. RNAcentral's name for it is "partial small subunit ribosomal RNA". It matches the Rfam family "Eukaryotic small subunit ribosomal RNA", at positions 582 to 975 of the family's 1831-position model. Lineage: Eukaryota; Dinophyceae; Syndiniales. The record is from RNAcentral.